CCUAUAGAGACUGGAGCUUCUCAUUCAUUAGGCCUGGGUUGGAGGCUGAGAAUAUGCAUUUCUACCAAUUUCUCAAGUGUGGCUGAUCCUGCUGAUCUAGGGGUCAAACUGAAAAUUACUGCUUGAUGUUAAUAGUUGUUCAUCUUGACUGUACAUUAGAAUCAUCUGGAAGGCUUUUAAAAAAUACAAAUGCUGGAAUACUGUAUUAGACCAGUGAAGGCAGAAUCCCUUCAAAUAAGGCCUGCCAUCUGUAUCUUGUAAAGCACCACAGAGAAACCAGGAUUGAGAACAACUAACUUACAUGAGGCUCCGGGAGAGAAAGCAGAGGAAUGAGGAGAAGGUUCUGAGGAUCCGUCCAGGCUCUGAAACUGUCAUAACAAGGGUCCUGUCCAGCUGGGCUCACCCAUCUGUGCCUGAGAUACGCCAGAGCAUUGUCUCAGCUUUCCCAGGAUGAGAAGACUGAAGCAAGAAGCAUCUCACAGCUAGUUUGUGCAGAGCUGUUGUCUGCCGAAAAUCCUGCCUCCUUCCUCUUCCCUCUGCUCUUGAGUGGUUCUCCUCCUUGGCCCCUAAAAUUGUAGAAUUUUUUUCUGACUGGUUGGGUGAACUUCCAGUUGUUCAGAUAGCCUUCUGGUGAAAUGGACUGAAAACAAAGAGAAGAUAUACUUCCUAAAUUUUCAGAGCACUGUGUCUUGAGGGACAAGUAAAAUUGCCACAGGCUUAUCCAUUUUACUUUUUAUUGUAUAUAGAGCUAGAGAAA
RNAcentral lists this long non-coding RNA (757 nucleotides) under Capra hircus (goat). RNAcentral describes it as "lncRNA (ENSCHIG00010007206.1)". Lineage: Eukaryota; Metazoa; Chordata; Mammalia; Artiodactyla; Bovidae. The record is from RNAcentral.